This is a long non-coding RNA of Mauremys reevesii (Reeves's turtle), 343 nucleotides long. RefSeq lists it as uncharacterized. Lineage: Eukaryota; Metazoa; Chordata; Testudines; Geoemydidae. The transcript is spliced from 3 exons. The record is from RefSeq and is a predicted model, not a curated record.
AGCGGAAGCGGCCCCGGGGCAGGCUGGGAGUUGUAGUUCCUGUCUCUCCCUGGACCGGAAGUGACGUCGGCAGAGGAGACGGAGCCGGGCUGGAAAGGAGCGUUGAGCGCUGCGGCUCUGCCUGGCUCGCGCGGGGCCGUUGGAGCCUCUCCCGGGCCGGAGAAGGGUGUGUGACUGAGAUCAGGGCUCUUAUUGUACUGAGCGUGUUCCUGUUAUGACAGCUGCUGCAGAGACCCCAACUGAGACCUGGGCCCUGUUCUGCCAGCCACUGAAGAGACCCCAGGCUGCAGGUUAACGUCCACGUUUUGCGCCAGAUCAUUUCAUCCUCCCAAAGGGAAGGAAA